UGGCUCAGUGGCUAAGAGCACUGACUGCUCUUUCAGAGAUCCUGGGUUCAAUUCCCAG
RNAcentral lists this transfer RNA (58 nucleotides) under Rattus norvegicus (Norway rat). Lineage: Eukaryota; Metazoa; Chordata; Mammalia; Rodentia; Muridae. The record is from Rfam by way of RNAcentral.